UGAGGAAUAUUGGUCAAUGGGCGAGAGCCUGAACCAGCCAAGUAGCGUGCAGGAUGACGGCCCUCCGGGUUGUAAACUGCUUUUAGUUGGGAAUAAAAAAAGGGACUUGUCCCUUCUUGUAUGUACCUUCAGAAAAAGGACCGGCUAAUUCCGUGCCAGCAGCCGCGGUAAUACGGAAGGUCCAGGCGUUAUCCGGAUUUAUUGGGUUUAAAGGGAGCGUAGGCGGAUUGUUAAGUCAGCGGUUAAAGGGUGUGGCUCAACCAUGCAUUGCCGUUGAAACUGGUGAUCUUGAGUGCAGACAGGGAUGCCGGAAUUCGUGGUGUAGCGGUGAAAUGCUUAGAUAUCACGAAGAACUCCGAUCGCGAAGGCAGGUGUCCGGGCUGCAACUGACGCUGAGGCUCGAAAGUGUGGGUAUCAAACAGGAUUAGAUACCCUGGUAGUCCACACAGUAAACGAUGUAUACUCGCGGUUUGCGAUAGAGUGUAAGCCGCCAAGCGAAAGCAUUAAGUAUACCACCUGGGGAGUACGCCGGCAACGGUG
RNAcentral lists this ribosomal RNA (540 nucleotides) under uncultured bacterium. RNAcentral's name for it is "bacterial SSU rRNA". It matches the Rfam family "Bacterial small subunit ribosomal RNA", at positions 355 to 896 of the family's 1533-position model. The record is from RNAcentral.